Non-coding RNA from Xenopus tropicalis (tropical clawed frog), 70 nucleotides. NCBI's taxonomy places the organism in Eukaryota, Metazoa, Chordata, Amphibia, Anura, Pipidae. The record is from Rfam.
GCGUUAGUAGUGUAGGGGUAUCAUGCAAGCUUCCAUUCUUGCGACCUUGGUUCCAGUCCCGGCUAGCGCA